This 243-nucleotide long non-coding RNA is filed under the name Panax ginseng (ginseng). RNAcentral describes it as "long non-coding RNA (PGIN_LNC004072)". Lineage: Eukaryota; Viridiplantae; Streptophyta; Magnoliopsida; Apiales; Araliaceae. The record is from RNAcentral.
GACUUAGAAAUUUAGUUAGUUAAUUGUUUAUUUGUGAUUCAAUGGUUGUUAAGGUUGUAUGACAAUGUGAUUAGGAAGGUGUUGAUGUUUGAUUAUGAGUCAACGAUUGUUAAACAUGUGUGAUAAGGUGAUUAGGUUAUGUGCUGACUGCAAUAGGCAGUGUUAUGUAUUACGUUAUGAUGUACUAAUCAGUAAAAUGAUCUGAUUAAUGUUAGGUGAUUUCAUAAAAGAUAAAACUAAGUU